RNAcentral lists this long non-coding RNA (239 nucleotides) under Elaeis guineensis (African oil palm). RNAcentral describes it as "long non-coding RNA (EGUI_LNC043620)". The record is from RNAcentral. Lineage: Eukaryota; Viridiplantae; Streptophyta; Magnoliopsida; Arecales; Arecaceae.
GAAUAGGAUUCAUUUCUUGUACCUUUUUAAAGGGACCUCUCCUAAGGUCCCUAGAGCAUCCAAACACUACAAGAAAAUGAAUUUUUGUGGCAGAAUUAUUUACGACGGUUGAUCUAUCGUCGCAAAAAAGUUUAUUUACGACGGCAAAGAACCUUCACAAAUAAGAUGCCAAAUUUAAUUGCUAUUUUCAACGGCAAUAAAAUCUCGUAGUAAAAAAUAGAGUUUUUUCGAUGGCAAAU